CAGAUGGAUUGUUACUGUUUUGACAAUAUGUAUUGUGAUGUCUGUUAUUAUCAUCAUGGUUCUGGGUGGACUGCUAUGCAAGAACCAACAGCAACGUUCAAGACAAGGUCAAGGUCACUCAAGACACACAAAUAAGGUUGAAGACACAGAUGGCUUGAACUAUGCAGCUUUGAGAUUUGCUCAGAAACCUUCUACCUCUGAAAUAUCCACAGUUAUGAACAAUUCAGAUGUUUAUGCUCAGGUCAAAAUACAAUAGCUAAUUGAAAUGAGUACAUUUUUAUUUUCUGUUUAAUGCUAUAUUAGUCUCUCUAUUUACAUGCAACAUGACAGCCAUGAAUUGGCAAGAAAACUGCAUUCCCAUUUUGGUGAUUCU
Molecule: non-coding RNA, 373 nt
Organism: Electrophorus electricus (electric eel)
Lineage: Eukaryota; Metazoa; Chordata; Actinopteri; Gymnotiformes; Gymnotidae
Source: RefSeq, a predicted model, not a curated record